This 1106-nucleotide long non-coding RNA is filed under the name Struthio camelus australis. RNAcentral describes it as "lncRNA (ENSSCUG00000006956.1)". The record is from RNAcentral. Lineage: Eukaryota; Metazoa; Chordata; Aves; Struthioniformes; Struthionidae.
CUUGUUUCAAUAUUAGGAAAUUCUGGAUAAAAAAGGAAAUGACUAAGCCUGGAUCGCUUCCUCUGUCACCAUUAUGGUGAAAAGCUUAUGUCCUGGCUGAUCUGGUUUAAUUUUUUUUUUUGUUCCCAGCCAAUUGGAGUCAUAUUUCACGUGCAGUAACCCUUAAAACCCUUCUGCUCAGCCUUCCUUUCCCCAUUAUCUACACUUCCAGCUCUUCAUCUCCCCAGAUUCCUACCUUCCUUGUGACUUCUGACAAUGAUUACAGAUUCUGGCUGGGUGCAGUUCCUGACUAUCUGCUUGCAGAUUUGACCCAUGUUAUGCUGCUGCUCUGUUCACUCUCCAGCCCCAGGAGCCAAUUUUUUGUGCAUCUUCUAUCUCCGUCAUUGGGACUUUCAGCUGUCACCUUAUAAGGCCCUUGUACUUUGGGAUCUUGUGGUUGAAGGGCAACGGAGGAGUAGAAAAUGCCCACCUCUCUAUACCUUCCAUGUGGAAUACAAGGCACAUAUAUGGCACUGGAACUGCUAAAGAGAAAAAUUAUUUGUGCUCAAGCAUUUGAUGGGUUUGUGUAGAAGAGAGAUAUGAACAACACAUAUUGGUGAACUCCACUUACAGGUAAAUUAUACAUCUCUGUAUUUACUAUUUCACAUGUUAGAGAAACUUCAGUGAUAAAUACAGGAGGGAAAAGUGUGCACAAACAGAAAGACAGUACUUACCAAAAAUAGGAUAGCACUGAACGAUGCACACCUAAGAAAAAGUGUCCAUUUGGCACUGAUGAACCUUGCAACAUUUCUAUAGUGAAGAAGAGUUUUAUCUUCAUCUCCCACUGUACAAAGUGAAAUACUGAAAGAUUAAAUGACAUGUUAAUCUAAGAAGUUCGUAGUUCAUUCAGGAAUAGAUGCUAUGGAACAUCUGCCAUGAACACACGUACCACAAAGAUCUGUCCUUAAAACAUGCAAACUCAAACACCAAAGGUGAGACCCUUGUUUGCUGUUGACAGCAUCACUCCCCAUUACCUUCAAGGUAGCACUUUGUAGCAGCUGGUCAUCAGACUGCUUUUCUUCAUGUCCUCCAUUUGAGGGAAUAAAGACUUGGCGGUGUGGAUGUCA